RNAcentral lists this long non-coding RNA (1432 nucleotides) under Nicotiana benthamiana. Its description in RNAcentral is "long non-coding RNA (NBEN_LNC018088)". The record is from RNAcentral. Lineage: Eukaryota; Viridiplantae; Streptophyta; Magnoliopsida; Solanales; Solanaceae.
UCAAUUGGUGCGGGCGCCUUUGGAGUCCCAAAUUCCACCUCAAUUGGCUAUUGCACCUUUGCAGGAAGUGCCUCGAACUCAAAUGGCACAGAUAUAUUCACCACAUUGUCCUCAAAUGGUUGGACUUGUACAACAAUAGGAUUAAGAGUGACCAUUGAUUUCUUGGGCUCAUCUCCCUCAGAUAUCAAACCAAUCGACCCUUCGGGUCCAAAUCGUCUUCUACCUCAAUCAUGUGGACGCUUCCACCUUUAUGGUCUGGCAGAGUGUUGUUACGAACAUUAGGAGCAUGCUCCUUGGUUAAGAUGACCUUGUUGUCAAUUAUGGUCUGUAUUUUGUCCUUCAAUGAGCGGCACUCGUCAAACAAGAGCAAACUUGUAAACAAGUCGGACAAGGGCCUGGAAGGUGAUUAGGACACCAACAGACCUUUGUCAAGACUUAAACACAUAAGAAAGGGAAAAGGGAGUGGGAUCAUUUUGAGUAUAGGCAAUUAAGCCUUGGUUCUAGAUUAGAAGUGGCAAUGAGAUGUCAUUCUCAUCCAAAACAAACUCAUAAGCAAACAGGGAUUAAAAGGGAAGGGGAAAUCACAUAGGAUUUAGCAGACAAGAUUAAGUUGAAAAGACUAGGAGAAAAUAAAGCAUAGUAAUGGAUAAUACGUAAGCAAAAAGGGAUUAAAAGGGGAAGGGAACUCAAACAACAUUAAAUUGAAAGACUAAGAGGAAAUAAAGCAUAGUGAUGAACAAUACACAAGCAGAAGAAAGGAAUUGAACAUGCUAAGGUACUGAAUAUAAACAACCAAAGGGAAAAGGAAAUGGAUAAGCGUGCAGGAACACAAACAGGUAAGAGACAAGGGAAAAAAGUUGAGCAUACUGAAAUAAUGAAACACACAAGGGAAUGAGGGAGAGGGAUUAAGAAGGUUAUAAGUUAAACUAAGUGCACAAAACAAAUGAGGGAAUCAGGGAAAGGGAAUAAACAAUUUAGAGCUUUAAACUGAAACAUAACAACAUGGGGGAAGGGAGAGGGAGUUAAGUAUGCCAUAACUCAAAUGAAGUACUAAAAGAAGCAAACAAGGGGGAAAGGAAAAGAGAUUACAUGCUGAAUACUGAAAGUGUAACAGGCAAAGACAAGUUGAAAGUAAACAAGUAGUUGAAAGACUGGUAAUUCAGAUUAGAACCUACCAUUUGCACUUGAAUGACAAAAGUAAAUAGAAAUUCUAUAAUUAUCCUUGGCUUUUAACCGGCUAGCCUUUAGCUGAGAGAGAAAGUAGAAAAGAAGAGAGAAACAGAGAAUCUUUUGUGAGUAAAGAGUACAGAGAACUUGAGAAUGUGUGUUUUAAGUGAUAAAAGAGAGAACCUAUUUAUAGCUGAAAGAGAAGCAACAAUAAGGCUAGGAAAAUAUUUAGAAAAUCAAUUAGUAUCAAUUAGGAGAAGGGAAU